GUGGAUUAGAUACCCUGGUAGUCCACGCCCUAAACGAUGCGAACUGGAUGUUGGGUGCAAUUUGGCACUCAGUAUCGAAGCUAACGCGUUAAGUUCGCCGCCUGGGGAGUACGGUCGCAAGACUGAAACUCAAAGGAAUUGACGGGGGCCCGCACAAGCGGUGGAGUAUGUGGUUUAAUUCGAUGCAACGCGCAGAACCUUACCUGGCCUUGACAUGCACGGAACUUUCCAGAGAUGGAUUGGUGCCUUCGGGAACCGUGACACAGGUGCUGCACGGCCGUCGCCAACU
This 289-nucleotide ribosomal RNA is filed under the name uncultured bacterium. RNAcentral's name for it is "partial 16S ribosomal RNA". It matches the Rfam family "Bacterial small subunit ribosomal RNA", at positions 773 to 1060 of the family's 1533-position model. The record is from RNAcentral.